GGGCGAUUAGCUCAGUGGUAGUAGCGCUUCCUUCACACGGAAGAGGUCACUGGUUCGAACCCAGUAUCGCCCACCA
RNAcentral lists this transfer RNA (76 nucleotides) under Fretibacterium sp. OH1220_COT-178. Its description in RNAcentral is "tRNA-Val". It matches the Rfam family "tRNA". From Rfam's summary of the family: Transfer RNA (tRNA) molecules are approximately 80 nucleotides in length. RNAcentral also lists the same sequence under 1 other name. Lineage: Bacteria; Thermotogati; Synergistota; Synergistia; Synergistales; Aminobacteriaceae. The record is from RNAcentral.